GAUGAACGCUGGCGGCGUGCCUAAUACAUGCAAGUCGAGCGAACGGACGAGAAUCUUGCUUCUCUGAUGUUAGCGGCGGACGGGUGAGUAACACUUGGAUAACCUACCUCUAAGACUGUGAUAACUUCGGGAAACCGGAGCUAAUACCGGAUAAUAUUUUGAACCUCAUGGUUCAAAAGUGAAAGACGGUCUUGCUGUCACUUAUAGAUGGAUCCGCGCUGCAUUAGCUAGUUGGUAAGGUAACGGCUUACCAAGGCAACGAUGCAUAGCCGACCUGAGAGGGAGAACGGGCAGACGGGAACUGAGACACGGUCGAGACUCCUACGGGAGGCAGCAGUAGGGAAUCUUACGCGAUGGACGAGAGGGUGACGGAGCAAAGCGGCGUGAGGGAUGAAGGAGUUCGGAUCGGAGAACGCUGUUAGUAGGGAAGAACAUAUGUGUAAGUAACUGUGAAGAUAUUGACGGUACCUAAUCAGGAAGCCACGGCUAACUACGUG
RNAcentral lists this ribosomal RNA (497 nucleotides) under uncultured bacterium. Its description in RNAcentral is "partial 16S ribosomal RNA". It matches the Rfam family "Bacterial small subunit ribosomal RNA", at positions 28 to 507 of the family's 1533-position model. The record is from RNAcentral.